GGGCGGGUAGCUCAGUUGGCCAGAGCGCCUCCCUUACAAGGAGGAGGUCAGGGGUUCGAGUCCCUUCCCGCCCA
This 74-nucleotide transfer RNA is filed under the name Anaerolineae bacterium. RNAcentral describes it as "tRNA-Val". It matches the Rfam family "tRNA". Rfam says of the family: Transfer RNA (tRNA) molecules are approximately 80 nucleotides in length. Their secondary structure includes four short double-helical elements and three loops (D, anti-codon, and T loops). Further hydrogen bonds mediate the characteristic L-shaped molecular structure. tRNAs have two regions of fundamental functional importance: the anti-codon, which is responsible for specific mRNA codon recognition, and the 3' end, to which the tRNAs corresponding amino acid is attached (by aminoacyl-tRNA synthetases). tRNAs cope with the degeneracy of the genetic code in two manners: having more than one tRNA (with a specific anti-codon) for a particular amino acid; and 'wobble' base-pairing, i.e. permitting non-standard base-pairing at the 3rd anti-codon position. The record is from RNAcentral. Lineage: Bacteria; Bacillati; Chloroflexota; Anaerolineae. RNAcentral also lists the same sequence under 2 other names.